This 418-nucleotide long non-coding RNA is filed under the name Elaeis guineensis (African oil palm). RNAcentral's name for it is "long non-coding RNA (EGUI_LNC080545)". The record is from RNAcentral. Lineage: Eukaryota; Viridiplantae; Streptophyta; Magnoliopsida; Arecales; Arecaceae.
UUUUGGGUGGCGGCUGUCGCGGAGCAUUCGGAGGUGGAGCAUAUCCUUGACAUCACCAAUGCCUCCAAUGUGACUCCGGCUCUUCUUGAAACAGGUCUUCGUCACUGCUGCCGUUGCCUUUACCGCCCCCGGGCACCUAUCCCACCCUUUUCCUCCUAGGGUUGGGACUUCAGAGAUGGAGCGAAGCGAGACGGGACGAGAGUCGAUAGGUCCGUUACACGCACUGGAGAACACAGCGGAGAAGGACAGAGAUGGGAAGAGGAGUUUGUAGCUCGGAGCGGCCUCCGGUAUAUCCUUUCCAAGCCGUGCUCGCGAGGCUUGCGAUGAUGUAUAUCUCUUUUUUUUUUUUUCGACCCACCGGGUCUUGUAACGUAUAUCUUAUUAAAUGAAGAGGAAAUUUUGUUUCCUUGCCUGAACC